UGGGAUAAACCGUAAUCGUACCCCCUCCUAACUGCCAAAGUGUCAUGGCCGCCGUCGGGACCUAUUGUGCUGACAUUUACAAUGUUUACAUAUAGAAAAGUUUGUUUUUUUCUGCUUAUAAUGCCGUUUUCUAAAGAUAUUAGUGAACAAAAUCGAUUUGCUAACAAUAUUUAAUAUAUUUUAAAUGUGCUAAAAUUGGAUUCAACAGCAAAAGUCGCAUAAAUAACAUAUAAAUAACGAAUUUGUUCACCUAUUACAAAUGGGGUUAUGUGGUUGUAACUGUUUAUUUUGGGAAUAAAAUGAAAAUGAUCAAUUAAACGACUGGAAAACUAUAGUGAAGUGAAGAACAUCUUGAAGUUCCAAUGAUGUUUCAAGAUGAGAUAAAUCGAAAUAAUGGUUGUAUGUUAGAAGGACAGAGAAUAUGAAGAAAUGUUAUUGCUGCAUAUUUAGUGUAGUGAAAUACAAACUUCAAACAUUAUAAUAUAUUUUUUGAUUUCAAACAUUUCAUAUGAUUAUGAAAGAACAUCUUUCUUUUUAAAACAAUGAAGAAGUGAAGAACAUAAUAAAGUUCCAACGAAAAUGAUUCCAGAUGAGGAAAAUCGAAAUAAUGGUUGUAUGUUACAUGUAUAGAGAAUACGAAGAAAUGUUAUUGCUGCAAACUUAGUGUAGUGAAUUAAAAACUUAUUGUCAAAUACAAAUCAAUUUAUUUCAUACUUUUAUAAUAUAUAGUGAUAUAAUUUUAUAUGUGUUCAAAUAAAAAUAUUAAUAAAUAAAAUACAAUAAACACAAA
Diabrotica virgifera virgifera (western corn rootworm) is the source of this 790-nucleotide long non-coding RNA. RefSeq lists it as uncharacterized. The transcript has 2 exons. The record is from RefSeq and is a predicted model, not a curated record. NCBI's taxonomy places the organism in Eukaryota, Metazoa, Arthropoda, Insecta, Coleoptera, Chrysomelidae.